Molecule: long non-coding RNA, 210 nt
Filed under: Helianthus annuus (common sunflower)
Lineage: Eukaryota; Viridiplantae; Streptophyta; Magnoliopsida; Asterales; Asteraceae
Description: hypothetical non coding rna
Source: RNAcentral
AUGAAAAAUCAUUCUUUGAUCUUGUCUCUACAAGUGGUAUGCAAUCUGAGAAAAGCCAGGUUCCGAUUCCUGAGGAUUCUGUGUAUAGAGAAAGCCAGGUUUUAAUCCUGAGCAAAGUAUGAGUCAGGUCACGAUCUUGAACCUGUGAAAGCCAGAUUGUGAUCCCAGCAUAUCGAAAGGGGAGUCUGUUGGUGUUGAUAUGCUUAGCAA